UUUAUUAAUAAGAAGACCAAGUGAAAGUGGCUUCCCAUUACAUCCCACGAUCGAUCGUCAUAAUAUGUACACAUAUUUAUGUAUUGAAAGCUAUGCAACAAAUAUUAUAAGUGUAUAUAUAUAUAUAUAUAUAUAUAUAUAAAAGAAGUCGCAAUAUUUAAGCUAAGGGCUUCUGAAACUGAAACUGAAAAUGAUCAAAAAGAAGAAAAUGGAGAAUAAUAAUAUUGUUGUUGUGUUUCAUGGUUUGCCCUUAUUAUUAUUAUUAUUAUGCAUAAUGAUGAUGAUGAUGAGUUUCACUACUACUACGACAGCCACCAAUUGUAUCUAUAGUAGUAACCACCUAGCUCCACCACCACCACCGCCACCACCACCGUCUUCGCCGCCGCCAUCGCCGGGAAUAAUAUCACGACGCCUAUUGAGGAGGACUGUUUAUGAAGCACCACCACCGGACUUAUAUCAGUCGUCGCUUUACUACUACAAGUCUCCUCCACCUCCCAAACCCAAUCAUUACUAAUAUAAAUAUGAUGCUGAUGAUCGAAGGACAUGCAUGCAAAAUCAGUUCAAAGAUCGAAUUCAUAAUAAAGAGAGACCCAAUUCAUAUUGAUCAGUUGAAACUCAAUUAUCAUCGAGCGCUUCUUAAUUGAUUACUACUUUCCAUAUUA
This is a long non-coding RNA of Humulus lupulus (European hop), 662 nucleotides long. RefSeq lists it as uncharacterized. The record is from RefSeq and is a predicted model, not a curated record. The transcript has 2 exons. Lineage: Eukaryota; Viridiplantae; Streptophyta; Magnoliopsida; Rosales; Cannabaceae.